Molecule: ribosomal RNA, 907 nt
Filed under: Neosetophoma xingrensis
Lineage: Eukaryota; Fungi; Ascomycota; Dothideomycetes; Pleosporales; Phaeosphaeriaceae
Description: eukaryotic LSU rRNA
Rfam family: Eukaryotic large subunit ribosomal RNA
Source: RNAcentral
GCAUAUCAAUAAGCGGAGGAAAAGAAACCAACAGGGAUUGCCCUAGUAACGGCGAGUGAAGCGGCAACAGCUCAAAUUUGAAAUCUGGCUCUUUUAGGGUCCGAGUUGUAAUUUGCAGAGGGCGCUUUGGCGUUGGCAGCGGUCCAAGUUCUUUGGAACAGGACGUCACAGAGGGUGAGAAUCCCGUACGUGGUCGCUAGCCUUCGCCGUGUAAAGCCCCUUCGACGAGUCGAGUUGUUUGGGAAUGCAGCUCUAAAUGGGAGGUAAAUUUCUUCUAAAGCUAAAUACUGGCCAGAGACCGAUAGCGCACAAGUAGAGUGAUCGAAAGAUGAAAAGCACUUUGGAAAGAGAGUCAAAUAGCACGUGAAAUUGUUGAAAGGGAAGCGCUUGCAGCCAGACUUGCCUGUAGUUGCUUAUCCGGACUUUUGUCCGGUGCACUCUUCUGCGGGCAGGCCAGCAUCAGUUUAGGCGGUUGGAUAAAGGUCUCUGUCAUGUACCUCUCUUCGGGGAGGCCUUAUAGGGGAGACGACAUGCAACCAGCCUGGACUGAGGUCCGCGCAUCUGCUAGGAUGCUGGCGUAAUGGCUGUAAGCGGCCCGUCUUGAAACACGGACCAAGGAGUCUAACAUCUAUGCGAGUGUUUGGGUGUCAAGCCCAGACGCGUAAUGAAAGUGAACGGAGGUGGGAACCCUUUGGGUGCACCAUCGACCGAUCCUGAUGUCUUCGGAUGGAUUUGAGUAAGAGCAUGGCUGUUGGGACCCGAAAGAUGGUGAACUAUGCUUGAAUAGGGUGAAGCCAGAGGAAACUCUGGUGGAGGCUCGCAGCGGUUCUGACGUGCAAAUCGAUCGUCAAAUUUGGGCAUAGGGGCGAAAGACUAAUCGAACUAUCUAGUAGCUGGUUCCUGCCGA